This 240-nucleotide ribosomal RNA is filed under the name uncultured bacterium. RNAcentral describes it as "partial 16S ribosomal RNA". It matches the Rfam family "Bacterial small subunit ribosomal RNA", at positions 95 to 334 of the family's 1533-position model. The record is from RNAcentral.
CCGGCGCACGGGUGAGUAACGCGUAUGCAACUUACCUAUCAGAGGGGGAUAACCCGGCGAAAGUCGGACUAAUACCGCAUAAAGCAGGGAUCCCGCAUGGGAAUAUUUGCUAAAGAUUCAUCGCUGAUAGAUAGGCAUGCGUUCCAUUAGGCAGUUGGCGGGGUAACGGCCCACCAAACCGACGAUGGAUAGGGGUUCUGAGAGGAAGGUCCCCCACAUUGGUACUGAGACACGGACCAA